Podarcis lilfordi (Lilford's wall lizard) is the source of this 83-nucleotide non-coding RNA. The record is from the annotation of a GenBank genome assembly. NCBI's taxonomy places the organism in Eukaryota, Metazoa, Chordata, Lepidosauria, Squamata, Lacertidae.
UGUAUGUGUGUAUGUGUGUAUAUGUGUAUAUGUGUAUGUGCAUGUGUAUAUAUAUACACACAUAUAUAUAUAUCACACACACA